This 500-nucleotide ribosomal RNA is filed under the name uncultured bacterium. Its description in RNAcentral is "partial 16S ribosomal RNA". It matches the Rfam family "Bacterial small subunit ribosomal RNA", at positions 29 to 523 of the family's 1533-position model. The record is from RNAcentral.
AUUGAACGCUGGCGGCAUGCCUUACACAUGCAAGUCGAACGGCAGCGCGGACUUCGGUCUGGCGGCGAGUGGCGAACGGGUGAGUAAUACAUCGGAACGUACCCUGUUGUGGGGGAUAACUAGUCGAAAGAUUAGCUAAUACCGCAUACGACCUGAGGGUGAAAGUGGGGGACCGCAAGGCCUCACGCAGCAGGAGCGGCCGAUGUCUGAUUAGCUAGUUCGUGGGGUAAAGGCCCACCAAGGCGACGGUCAGUAGCUGGUCUGAGGGUACGAGCAGCCACAGUUGGGCUGAAACAGGGCCCAGACUCCUAAGGGAGACAGCAGUGCGGUAUUGUGGGCACUGGGGGCAACCCAGAUCCAGCAAUGCCGCGUGUGUGAAGAAGGCCUUCGGGUUGUAAAGCACUUUUGUCCGGAAAGAAAUCGCGCUGGUUAAUACCUGGCGUGGAUGACGGUACCGGAAGAAUAAGCACCGGCUAACUCCGUGGAAGCAGCCGCCGUAA